UACGAAGGGGGCUAGCGUUGCUCGGAAUCACUGGGCGUAAAGGGUGCGUAGGCGGGUCUUUAAGUCAGGGGUGAAAUCCUGGAGCUCAACUCCAGAACUGCCUUUGAUACUGGCGAUCUUGAGUCCGGGAGAGGUGAGUGGAACUGCGAGUGUAGAGGUGAAAUUCGUAGAUAUUCGCAAGAACACCAGUGGCGAGGGCGGCUCACUGGCCCGGUACUGACGCUGAGGUGCGAAAGCGUGGGGAGCAAACAGG
RNAcentral lists this ribosomal RNA (253 nucleotides) under uncultured bacterium. Its description in RNAcentral is "partial 16S ribosomal RNA". It matches the Rfam family "Bacterial small subunit ribosomal RNA", at positions 524 to 776 of the family's 1533-position model. The record is from RNAcentral.